UACGAAGGGGGCUAGCGUUGCUCGGAAUCACUGGGCGUAAAGGGCACGUAGGCGGAUUGCUAAGUCAGGGGUGAAAUCCUGGAGCUCAACUCCAGAACUGCCUUUGAUACUGGGGAUCUCGAGUCCGGAAGAGGUGAGUGGAACUCCGAGUGUAGAGGUGAAAUUCGUAGAUAUUCGGAAGAACACCAGUGGCGAAGGCGACAUACUGGCUCAUUACUGACGCUGAGGCUCGAAAGCGUGGGGAGCAAACAGG
Molecule: ribosomal RNA, 253 nt
Filed under: uncultured bacterium
Lineage: Bacteria
Description: partial 16S ribosomal RNA
Rfam family: Bacterial small subunit ribosomal RNA
Source: RNAcentral